AUGGUGCAUGGUAUGCUUAUUUAUUACUACUACCGAUGAGCUAGUAAGAACUAACAAGUAUGUUUAUAAUUUGAAAGAAAACACAGUCAAGAACACAAAGUUAUUCCUCCCGAGAUUGUUACACUUGUUGUCAACAGUAUAACUAUAAAGUUUCAAAGUCUAAAAUCGUACCUGAUCAGUUGUAGAAUAUAGUUGCAGUACUCUGUAGUUGAAUAGAGUUUCUCUUUUCUGGAAAAAAUUUAUUUUAGUGUCUCAGUGGAGAAAAAACACGUUGGUUUCUUCUUUUAAGAUAGAGUUGAGUUUCUUCCUUUUUAUAUAUAUAUUAAAAUUAUACAUACAUAUUGUAUUUUAAGGAUUAAAUAUUGGACAAUCAUCCAAGUCAACAUUAGUUGUAAUAAACAUAUUGUAUGACAUGACAUACCGAUAAUUUGAUUGCUUUCCCUUUCUCGCUUUCUCCUUCACUUUGUCCUCCUCUUUCCAUUAUUGUAACUUUUCCUUUCAAUUUCUCAAGAUCUGAUGUAUAAAAUACACAUAAAACCUAAUCAGGAGAAAGAAUACAAUGAAACUGAAGAAAAGAAGCAUAAAAAAGCCAUAGCAGAAAACAUGAUUGGCUAAGAUCAUGGUUGACUAACCUUUUUUAUUGAUAUUGAAGAUGAAAAAUCUGUGAGAAUGCUUUCGAUCUCCUCUCUGUUGUUGUGUAUGUAUAAUGUAU
RNAcentral lists this long non-coding RNA (712 nucleotides) under Nicotiana tabacum (common tobacco). Its description in RNAcentral is "long non-coding RNA (NTAB_LNC018606)". Lineage: Eukaryota; Viridiplantae; Streptophyta; Magnoliopsida; Solanales; Solanaceae. The record is from RNAcentral.